This is a long non-coding RNA of Humulus lupulus (European hop), 1448 nucleotides long. RefSeq lists it as uncharacterized. The transcript is spliced from 5 exons. The record is from RefSeq and is a predicted model, not a curated record. Lineage: Eukaryota; Viridiplantae; Streptophyta; Magnoliopsida; Rosales; Cannabaceae.
UACUCUGGUCUGGUCUGGUCUCUCUCCCUCUUAGAAAACCAGACGAAGAAGAAGCACCCAUCGAGAAGAAGCGCCCAUCCUUAGCGAGAGUACCCCGGAGGCCCCGACGCUGACCAUCGCCUGAGAAGAAGCGCCGAUCCUCAGCAAGAGUACCCCCGAGGCCCCGACGCUGACCAUCGCCUGAGAAGAACACCCAUCCUCGCCUGAGAGAAGAACCCAUACUCGCCGACCGCCACCUGAGAAGAAAAACCCAGAUGUGCAUGAGCGGGGUGCCUCUUUCGUCCUCCCCUUUAGCCCAGAAAUCCUUAGAAGGUUUAUGAGAAGAAACGCCCAAAAAAACACUCUGGUUUAUGCCAUAAUUUCAACCAAAUGCCCAGUCUGCUGAAUUGAAUGGGGCAAGAUGAUCUCAUCGAGGUCUACACCAUCAUCGUCUAUACCUACUACUAACAGCAAAUACAUAUUCCAUACAUAAAGGACAGAUGAAAUGAUUUAUGAGAUUUUGUUUGGGGAGCUAACUACUCAGGUAGUGAUGGCAUGAAUUCUGGCUCAAUGAAUAUUAUCAGACGUUUUUAAUCAAAAUUUGGGUUCAUCAUCAGCUCUACCAACUACAACAAGGGACACCAUUUUGUUGGUUCAUGGAUCGUCAUUGGAUAGGGACAUCAUCAGCUCUGAAUUUAAGGAAAGAGCAUUAAAGAAUACUACCAAUCGAUCAAAGAGGAAAUGGGAGUCGAAAAAUGGUUCAGUCUCCACACCACGACAUCACAUUCGACGUGGAAUGGUGUUAACUUCUCCUACCGGUCAAAUUGAGACAUGGCAUCUAAAGCAUUAUGAUGCUGAGAAAGGAUGGACUGUAAUAGAGCUCGAGCCAUUAUAUGUAAAUAAUUUAAAUUUUUAUUUAUUAUAUUUCUUAUUAAUAAUUAAUUAAAUAUAUUAUUAGGAUAAAAUGAUGGAGUUAAGGGGUCAACAUCCUCCAGAAGAACUGUCUGAUAAAGAGAUUAUGGAGCGUGUGCUUGGACGUGAUUCGGUAUACUUGCGAGGGUGGGGGCGGUCUCCUAGUGUCACAACUUCUACUUCACAUCGUGAAAAUAUUGUGGGUAAUCAACCAACUUAUGAAGAGUUAGUUGAAUGACUUAAUGAUACAACUUCCCGCCUGAAUGCUACUAACGAACAACUUAGUGUGGUUGUAGAUAUACUUUGUCAUAACAAUUUGAUGGAACCGCCUCCACCACCUCCAACAGACCAGGCUUCAGAUGCAAAUUUAAGAGAGUCACCAUCUUUUUCAGUUCGGGAGUCACAAGAGGAUUCUUAGUUUAUUUACAUUAAUUUACUAAGGAAUGAACUUUAUGAAGUUUUUUUUUAUUUUGGUAGGGGUAACCUUAAAAUGAUAACUUUAUGACUUAUUUUAGUAUUGAACAUUAUAAAGAAUUUUAGCAUUAAACAUUUUAUUA